CUCUGACUGCAGUCAGGCCAAGGACCAGGGAACCUGCAUCUGUUCACUAGGGCCAAGCACAUCUGCAAAAAAGACAUUGCUGGAGGAGGUGCAAAGAGCUGGAAACCAAGUCUCCAGUCCUGGGAAAAGCAGUGGUAUGGAAAAGCAAUGGAAAGAGCAUUUUGAAAAUGCCAUUCCACUGUUUUCUGGCCUUUAUGAUUUCUGCUGAGAAAUCCACUGUUAGUCUGAUGGGGUCUCCUUCAUAGCACCAAUGACCUGAAGAGCCUUGUUGAAGGAAGACUCCAUCUGAUGACUCAGAGCAAGUAUUUUUUAGUGUGUUAUUGUUAUUAGCAGAAAGAGGGCCAUAAAAUACAUGGGGCAAGCUGAAUAUAUCUUAGGCAAAAGAAGAAAAUAUUCAAAUUCUUAUGUUAUUUUAUCUAAUUAUUUUAUCUCUUUUUGUGUGUGACUUAUAAUGUGUGUAUUGUAUUAAUAAAAGUAUAUAAACAUGUAGUUUACAAAUA
This is a long non-coding RNA of Homo sapiens (human), 500 nucleotides long. The record is from Ensembl. Lineage: Eukaryota; Metazoa; Chordata; Mammalia; Primates; Hominidae.